Molecule: ribosomal RNA, 780 nt
Filed under: Triticum aestivum (bread wheat)
Lineage: Eukaryota; Viridiplantae; Streptophyta; Magnoliopsida; Poales; Poaceae
Description: partial small subunit ribosomal RNA
Source: RNAcentral
AUGGCCGGAAUUGUCCACAAGGAGUUUGCUGAGUUGGCCCAGACGGGGAUGAACUACCUGUCAUGGGCUUCGGACCGUGAGAUUUUUCUCCAGGGCAAAACCCUCCUGAGGGCGAUCGGUAAGGGGGCCCAGCUGGCCGCCACUGACCCCAAGUUCGAAACUGAGAAUGCGCAGGCUCUGCACUUUCACCGUCAUCACCUGUCACCUACUCUGAAAGAUGAGUAUAUGGCUGAGCGCAGUGCUUCUGGCCUUUGGACCGCUCUUAAGUAGCGGUUUGAGCGGCUGAAGUACAUUGUUAAGCCACGUGCAGAGGCAGAGUGGAUCCGUCUGAGGUUUGCGGACUUCAAGACGAAGAUUGAGAAAACCCUAUCCACUUUCCACCCUGACGCGGUCGCCGCACGGAACUACCGCCAGGGCAACUACACGAGGUAUUCAGAGUUGAUUGACGUCCUCCAGGUGGCAGAGGCACAGGACAAGGUUCUGAAAAAGAACUUUGCUGCGCAACCACUUGGGGGGAGUUCUCGCCAGGAGGUGAAUGCUCUCAAAGUUUGCAAGCCUCAACAAAAGAAGAGGGGCCGCAAGGCGGUAAAGCAGCAAAAGCCGGGCAAGGGGGGGCAAAGGCCUCAGGACUGCUUUCGGUGUGGCUCGGUGGAGCAUUUCUCCCGCCAGUGUCGAGCCCCACAGGAGGUCGUUGAUGCAUAUAAGGCCGGAAGGCGCGUGAGACGCACCUCGCCUUGGUUCAGGAGGGAGCACCACUGGCGCCCAUGGCGGCACCCGUGA